RNAcentral lists this ribosomal RNA (253 nucleotides) under uncultured bacterium. RNAcentral's name for it is "partial 16S ribosomal RNA". It matches the Rfam family "Bacterial small subunit ribosomal RNA", at positions 524 to 776 of the family's 1533-position model. The record is from RNAcentral.
UACAGGGGGUGCAAACGUUGCUCGGAAUUAUUGGGCGUAAAGCGCGCGUAGGCGGCCACUUAAGUCGGAUGUGAAAGCCCCUGGCUCAACUGGGGAAGUGCACCCGAAACUGAAUGGCUUGAGUGCGAAAGAGGGUCGCGGAAUUCCCGGUGUAGAGGUGAAAUUCGUAGAUAUCGGGAGGAACACCGGUGGCGAAGGCGGCGACCUGGGUCGACACUGACGCUGAGGCGCGAAAGCGUGGGGAGCAAACGGG